Molecule: ribosomal RNA, 632 nt
Filed under: Staphylococcus aureus
Lineage: Bacteria; Bacillati; Bacillota; Bacilli; Caryophanales; Staphylococcaceae
Description: bacterial SSU rRNA
Rfam family: Bacterial small subunit ribosomal RNA
Source: RNAcentral
AAAAGUGAAAGACGGUCUUGCUGUCACUUAUAGAUGGAUCCGCGCUGCAUUAGCUAGUUGGUAAGGUAACGGCUUACCAAGGCAACGAUGCAUAGCCGACCUGAGAGGGUGAUCGGCCACACUGGAACUGAGACACGGUCCAGACUCCUACGGGAGGCAGCAGUAGGGAAUCUUCCGCAAUGGGCGAAAGCCUGACGGAGCAACGCCGCGUGAGUGAUGAAGGUCUUCGGAUCGUAAAACUCUGUUAUUAGGGAAGAACAUAUGUGUAAGUAACUGUGCACAUCUUGACGGUACCUAAUCAGAAAGCCACGGCUAACUACGUGCCAGCAGCCGCGGUAAUACGUAGGUGGCAAGCGUUAUCCGGAAUUAUUGGGCGUAAAGCGCGCGUAGGCGGUUUUUUAAGUCUGAUGUGAAAGCCCACGGCUCAACCGUGGAGGGUCAUUGGAAACUGGAAAACUUGAGUGCAGAAGAGGAAAGUGGAAUUCCAUGUGUAGCGGUGAAAUGCGCAGAGAUAUGGAGGAACACCAGUGGCGAAGGCGACUUUCUGGUCUGUAACUGACGCUGAUGUGCGAAAGCGUGGGGAUCAAACAGGAUUAGAUACCCUGGUAGUCCACGCCGUAAACGAUGAGUGC